This 2689-nucleotide long non-coding RNA is filed under the name Malus domestica (apple). Its description in RNAcentral is "long non-coding RNA (MDOM_LNC009112)". Lineage: Eukaryota; Viridiplantae; Streptophyta; Magnoliopsida; Rosales; Rosaceae. The record is from RNAcentral.
AUUUACACAGUGUAGUAGUUACUUAGCACUAAAUGUUGGUUUUUUCCACAGCCACCAGAUAAUCCCACCCGGUCCUUUUUUGGAGGAACCUAAUACAUCUGAAACAUUGCCAAGAGAUUACCAGCCUGGCAAAUUCAUGCUUUAAUAGUAGAUGUGCUUUAUAUAUAUAUAUAUACCACAAAUCUUCUGUUUAGUAAUGAAUUAUCUAAACAAUUAUCUGCCACAUUUACUACUGUGAUGUCGUUAAACAAUUACCACAUUUGCUUGCAGUAAGGAUCCAGGUUACAUCAAAAGAGCAGGGGAUUUCAGCAAUCCUAUAAAUACAGAGGUAUGCAAUGUUUCUGUUUAGUCUUUAUCAUCUAUGUUCAAAAUAAGUAGUCUUCUGAUGACUAACCGUAACAAUUUCUAUUUAUUCAUUUAUUUUCUUUUCUGAAGCCAUCAGUUUCUCUAAAACAGAAGGUGGUAGGCAUGAAACUUAUUUUGAACUUAUUUAGGUCGAUAGUUUGAAUCUCAUCUGAUGGAAAAAUGUUAAGUGCAUCUUUUAUGACAGCAUCACAUAUGCAUAAGUAAAAAAAUCGUGUAUCACAAGAUUUGGAUGAAACGGAACUGAGAGAGGUCCAAAAUCAAGGAAUUGUCAUGUAAAGAAAACUCUACUCCUUCCCAUCAAAAUUUUCAAUGAUCCUUGUUUUUGUUUCCAACCACAGCACUGAAAGCUAAGCUAUUGAUCUGCAACUACAGAAGACUUUCACCUUCUUCCCCAAACUCAAAGAUCAAUUAUUCUGAUAGAACAAAAGAACCCUUGAUUUUGGAAUUAUGCAAGACAAGUCAGUCUCCCUCAGCAAUAUAUAUGCGACCAGGCAAUAAAUGACCCAUAUAAUGCAAUUGAAAAAUAAUGAUGUCACAAGACAUGCUCGAGUUUUUAAACCUACAUAUUCUGCGUGCAUAUGUGGUAAAAACAAUUUUACUCUGUAUGUGGCAGUGUUCAGAAAUGCAGCUCCAGAUGGGGCCUUGCUGACUUAUAUACUUGUGUAACUGAGCUUACUAAUAGGGCACCAACAUUUUUCAGGAUCCUUUGUUGAAUAUUGCUUUAAACAAUUCCUCUGUAUGGAUGGGAAAUUGGUCUCAACUUUGCCCCACUUGCACGGUUAACUUGAUGUCCUAUUUUCUUUCAAAGAGGAUACUAAAUAUAAUAAUAUAUUUGGAUAUUUCUUUAUGGUGCACAUGAUUAUUGUGUAUUUGAUUAAUGUCAUGUUUUUCUGACGUUCUUUUGUUUCAGAUAAUUAGACCUGUUCGCUCUAAACACUGCCCCACAUGUAACCGAUGUGUAGAACAGUUUGACCAUCAUUGUCCAUGGAUAUCUAAUUGUGUUGGAAAGGUAAGUAGUGCUAACUUCUUAUCAUAGUCCAACUCAGUAUAACUAUGUUAUGGAUUCUUGAGGUCACAUUUGUUUCCACCAGCUUCACCGCCUCUUAAUUUGCUUCUUGCAGAGAAACAAACGGGAUUUCUUUAUAUUUAUCUGCUUAGGAACUUUGACGUCACUCCUUUCUACUGCCGUUGCAGUUCAAAGUAUGUGGGUAGCAGACAUUAUGAACUUUGCGUUGAACUAUUUGUUUCAUUUUUUUACUAGAUGACAGCUGUCUUUUCCUGAUGACAGGGAUUUGGAGUGCAUUGCCGGGAUUGCAAACAGAAGAAACAUGGAUUCGUCGUGUGGUAGUUCAAUAUCCUAGUAUUGUUGCUUUUCUGUUUGUGGACAUAAUCAUUUUGAUAGCUGCUACAACCCUAACGAAGGCACAGGCAACUCAGGUAAUUGAUGGAACCCUUGCUACAUAAUGUUAGCUUAAGUUAGCAAAAGACAAAACAUGUGUUCCUCCGAAAAUGUGAAAACUACAUCUACUGAGAUGGGAAUCAUACUCUUGAAAUGGAUUAACUAGCAUUCUGUUGCAUUCAAGGAUUAGCCAGCUCAUACGGUCUUUAAUUUGGAAGACAAUUUAUUUUUUGUUUACCUCCCUUUCCUUCUUUCUUGAGAUUUUUCCUUUUGCGGUGGUAUAAAUAUCGAUUGAAGAACUCGUUAAGUUAUGGGAAAAGAAUGUGGGAGCAGAUAGCAAUUGAUAAGAAAGUUAUGCCCCUUUUGGCAUCCUGUUGAGAAUACUAGCAAGAGAAACGAAAAUGGCCAUGAAGACUAAUUAAUGAAUUGGAUGUUGCAAAAUUUGGCUCUCUUUUUUGUAGUUAAAGUUAGUUUUCUUUACUAUUUUGUACCUGCACAUUGGUAUGUUUUUUUGAAUUUGACCCCUUCAUUAGUCUAAUUUUCACAGAUGUACUUACAGUAAUUGCCUUUUAAACUCUUCUAAGUUAGUGAGACUAGACUGAUUAUGUUGUUUCAUCUCUGAAACAGAUAGCUCGAAAUAUCACCACCAAUGAAUUGGCAAAUGCUAAUCGUUAUGGGUAUCUUCGCGGUCCAGAUGGGCGGUUCCAAAACCCGUAUAACCAUGGGUGCAGAAAAAUUGUUCUGAUUUUCUGAUUCAGGGCCACACUGAUGAUGAUGAAAUUGCCUGGUCUCCAUUGCAGCAGGUUGCCAGUUAGUACUCAGAACGUUAAUCGGUCCUCUCCAUUGUCCCAGGCUACGGAUGACGCUUGGCGUUCCACCUGUAUUUGCUUGUAUCUAGGUUACCCAAUUCGUAUACAUAAUUCC